RNAcentral lists this ribosomal RNA (500 nucleotides) under uncultured bacterium. Its description in RNAcentral is "partial 16S ribosomal RNA". It matches the Rfam family "Bacterial small subunit ribosomal RNA", at positions 30 to 523 of the family's 1533-position model. The record is from RNAcentral.
AUUGAACGCUGGCGGCAGGCUUAACACAUGCAAGUCGAGCGGGGGAAGGUAGCUUGCUACCGGACCUAGCGGCGGACGGGUGAGUAAUGCUUAGGAAUCUGCCUAUUAGUGGGGGACAACAUCUCGAAAGGGAUGCUAAUACCGCAUACGUCCUACGGGAGAAAGCAGGGGAUCUUCGGACCUUGCGCUAAUAGAUGAGCCUAAGUCGGAUUAGCUAGUUGGUGGGGUAAAGGCCUACCAAGGCGACGAGCUGUAGCGGGUCUGAGAGGAUGAUCCGCCACUCUGGGACUGAGACACGGCCCAGACUCCUACGGGAGGCAGCAGUGGGGAAUAUUGGACAAUGGGGGGAACCCUGAUCCAGCCAUGCCGCGUGUGUGAAGAAGGCCUUAUGGUUGUAAGCACUUUAAGCGAGGAGGAGGCUCUUUUGGUUAAUACCCAAGAUGAGUGGACGUUACUCGCAGAAUAAGCACCGGCUAACUCUGUGCCAGCAGCCGCGGUAA